RNAcentral lists this ribosomal RNA (1072 nucleotides) under Fusarium sp. CHTAGSN. RNAcentral's name for it is "eukaryotic LSU rRNA". The stretch from base 455 to 1072 matches the Rfam family "Eukaryotic large subunit ribosomal RNA", at positions 1 to 655 of the family's 3401-position model. Lineage: Eukaryota; Fungi; Ascomycota; Sordariomycetes; Hypocreales; Nectriaceae. The record is from RNAcentral.
GCGGAGGGAUCAUUACCGAGUUUACAACUCCCAAACCCCUGUGAACAUACCAAUUGUUGCCUCGGCGGAUCAGCCCGCUCCCGGUAAAACGGGACGGCCCGCCAGAGGACCCCCAAACUCUGUUUCUAUAUGUAACUUCUGAGUAAAACCAUAAAUAAAUCAAAACUUUCAACAACGGAUCUCUUGGUUCUGGCAUCGAUGAAGAACGCAGCAAAAUGCGAUAAGUAAUGUGAAUUGCAGAAUUCAGUGAAUCAUCGAAUCUUUGAACGCACAUUGCGCCCGCCAGUAUUCUGGCGGGCAUGCCUGUUCGAGCGUCAUUUCAACCCUCAAGCCCAGCUUGGUGUUGGGACUCGCGAGUCAAAUCGCGUUCCCCAAAUUGAUUGGCGGUCACGUCGAGCUUCCAUAGCGUAGUAGUAAAACCCUCGUUACUGGUAAUCGUCGCGGCCACGCCGUUAAACCCCAACUUCUGAAUGUUGACCUCGGAUCAGGUAGGAGCAAAAGAAACCAACAGGGAUUGCCCUAGUAACGGCGAGUGAAGCGGCAACAGCUCAAAUUUGAAAUCUGGCUCUCGGGCCCGAGUUGUAAUUUGUAGAGGAUACUUUUGAUGCGGUGCCUUCCGAGUUCCCUGGAACGGGACGCCAUAGAGGGUGAGAGCCCCGUCUGGUUGGAUGCCAAAUCUCUGUAAAGUUCCUUCGACGAGUCGAGUAGUUUGGGAAUGCUGCUCUAAAUGGGAGGUAUAUGUCUUCUAAAGCUAAAUACCGGCCAGAGACCGAUAGCGCACAAGUAGAGUGAUCGAAAGAUGAAAAGCACUUUGAAAAGAGAGUUAAAAAGUACGUGAAAUUGUUGAAAGGGAAGCGUUUAUGACCAGACUUGGGCUUGGUUAAUCAUCUGGGGUUCUCCCCAGUGCACUUUUCCAGUCCAGGCCAGCAUCAGUUUUCCCCGGGGGAUAAAGACUUCGGGAAUGUGGCUCUUCUUCGGGGAGUGUUAUAGCCCGUUGUGUAAUACCCUGGGGGGGACUGAGGUUCGCGCAUCUGCAAGGAUGCUGGCGUAAUGGUCAUCAACGACCCGUCUU